AAUUUUAACAUUUCCCGGGGAGGUUUGGAUAUAUUUUCUUGUAAUAUAGCCGAUAAACCAGAACGUAUCGAAUGAAUCUAGAAAUAGAUAAACGAGCAUUAUCGCGUACAAUUUCUAAAGCGUAAAAAGUUUGGCAUCUGUUACACAUCCAAACGGAUUCGUUGUUAAGAGGAUCACAAGGUAAUAAAAUACCAGAACAAUAGUCAGCUGCACAGUAUAGUGCACUUAAUAAUGAUCCACAUUCCUGAAGGAUCCCUGCAUCUAUUACAUCUACAAAAGAAAUUCUUAGUAACGCUUAAAACUUGUCUUCUUAAAGUGGUAUCCCAAAAGAGAUCGAUAUAAGUCAUUGUAAUUUCUUCCCCUGCGGAAAUGGAACGGACAGCUAUGACAUAAAGCUGUUGCUGCGAAUCAUAAUGAUGCCUUGUAUUAGAUUAAAUGAUACCACUUAACAAUUCUUAACAAUAUACUAUACGUUUGUUAUAUUCAUAUUGUCAUACCUCACAAUCAUUAUUCAAGUUUUGA
This is a long non-coding RNA of Vespa crabro (European hornet), 522 nucleotides long. RefSeq lists it as uncharacterized. The record is from RefSeq and is a predicted model, not a curated record. The transcript is spliced from 4 exons. NCBI's taxonomy places the organism in Eukaryota, Metazoa, Arthropoda, Insecta, Hymenoptera, Vespidae.